GACGAACGCUGGCGGCGUGCUUAACACAUGCAAGUCGAACGGACAGGCCCUGCUUUUGUUGGGUGCUCGAGUGGCGAACGGGUGAGUAACACGUUAGUAACCUGCCCUUUACUUUUGGAUAACUUCAGGAAACUGGGGCUAAUACCGGAUAGGUGCUCCUGCUGCAUGGUGUGGGUUGUAAAGUUUCGUCCGUUGGGGAUGUACUCGCGGCUUAUCAGCUUGUUGGUGGGGUAGUGGCUUACCAAGUCUUUGACGGGUAGCCGGCAUGAGAGGGUGACCGGCCACAUUGGGACUGAGAGACGGACCAGAAGCCUACGGGAGGCAGCAGUGGGGAAUAUUGCAGAAUGGGCGGAAGCCUGAUGCAGAAACGCCGCGUGCGGGAUGACGGCCUUCGGGUUGUAAACCGCUUUCGCCUGUGACGAAGCGUGAGUGACGGUAAUGGGUAAAGAAGCACCGGCUAACUACGUG
RNAcentral lists this ribosomal RNA (468 nucleotides) under uncultured bacterium. RNAcentral describes it as "partial 16S ribosomal RNA". It matches the Rfam family "Bacterial small subunit ribosomal RNA", at positions 28 to 507 of the family's 1533-position model. The record is from RNAcentral.